CGUUUGGGUCUUACGCAAUGGGAAUCUGUGAACCGUGUCAGGGCAGGAAUGCAGCAGCACUAAGCGGAACCUCUCAUGUGCCGUAAGGUCGCCUGGACUGAGC
This 103-nucleotide signal recognition particle RNA is filed under the name [Clostridium] asparagiforme DSM 15981. RNAcentral describes it as "Bacterial signal recognition particle RNA". It matches the Rfam family "Bacterial small signal recognition particle RNA". Rfam says of the family: The signal recognition particle (SRP) is a universally conserved ribonucleoprotein involved in the co-translational targeting of proteins to membranes. Archaeal SRP consists of a 7S RNA and homologues of the eukaryotic SRP19 and SRP54 proteins. The record is from RNAcentral. Lineage: Bacteria; Bacillati; Bacillota; Clostridia; Lachnospirales; Lachnospiraceae.